CGCCGCGUGAGUGAAGAAGGUUUUCGGAUCGUAAAGCUCUGUUGUUGGUGAAGAAGGAUAGAGGUAGUAACUGGCCUUUAUUUGACGGUAAUCAACCAGAAAGUCACGGCUAACUACGUGCCAGCAGCCGCGGUAAUACGUAGGUGGCAAGCGUUGUCCGGAUUUAUUGGGCGUAAAGCGAGCGCAGGCGGAAGAAUAAGUCUGAUGUGAAAGCCCUCGGCUUAACCGAGGAACUGCAUCGGAAACUGUUUUUCUUGAGUGCAGAAGAGGAGAGUGGAACUCCAUGUGUAGCGGUG
This 296-nucleotide ribosomal RNA is filed under the name uncultured Lactobacillus sp. RNAcentral's name for it is "partial 16S rRNA". It matches the Rfam family "Bacterial small subunit ribosomal RNA", at positions 395 to 683 of the family's 1533-position model. The record is from RNAcentral. Lineage: Bacteria; Bacillati; Bacillota; Bacilli; Lactobacillales; Lactobacillaceae.